ACCAUCAUCGAUCUGAUAGACGUCCAUUCUGUUGUUGCGCUGCUGAUGAAAUAACGGUUCGGCGGCUCCGUCUAGUGUCCCGCACUGCAUAAUGGGAUAGGCCCAG
Molecule: non-coding RNA, 106 nt
Organism: Drosophila virilis
Lineage: Eukaryota; Metazoa; Arthropoda; Insecta; Diptera; Drosophilidae
Source: RefSeq, a predicted model, not a curated record